Molecule: ribosomal RNA, 468 nt
Filed under: uncultured bacterium
Lineage: Bacteria
Description: partial 16S ribosomal RNA
Rfam family: Bacterial small subunit ribosomal RNA
Source: RNAcentral
GACGAACGCUGGCGGCGUGCUUAACACAUGCAAGUCGAACGGACAGGCCCUGCUUUUGUGGGGCGCUCGAGUGGCGAACGGGUGAGUAACACGUGAGUAACCUGCCCUUGACUUUGGGAUAACUUCAGGAAACUGGGGCUAAUACCGGAUAGGAGCUCCUGCUGCAUGGUGGGGGUUGGAAAGUUUCGGCGGUUGGGGAUGGACUCGCGGCUUAUCAGCUUGUUGGUGGGGUAGUGGCUUACCAAGGCUUUGACGGGUAGCCGGCCUGAGAGGGUGACCGGCCACAUUGGGACUGAGAUACGGCCCAGACUCCUACGGGAGGCAGCAGUGGGGAAUAUUGCACAAUGGGCGGAAGCCUGAUGCAGCAACGCCGCGUGCGGGAUGACGGCCUUCGGGGUGUAAACCGCUUUCGCCUGUGACGAAGCGUGAGUGACGGUAAUGGGUAAAGAAGCACCGGCUAACUACGUG